This is a long non-coding RNA of Suricata suricatta (meerkat), 504 nucleotides long. RefSeq lists it as uncharacterized. The transcript has 3 exons. Lineage: Eukaryota; Metazoa; Chordata; Mammalia; Carnivora; Herpestidae. The record is from RefSeq and is a predicted model, not a curated record.
CACAGCGGCGAGAGCCCGAGCACCCCCCGGGGAACCUGCUCCCUGACCGGGAACCGAGUCGGCGCGGAGCGGAAACACCACGCGCGGCCCGGAUGCUCCGGAGCCCGGAGACAGAAGACCCUAGAGCCACGCGCACAGCCCAGCCCGGGACCCCGCGGCAUUCAACGUCACCGCGCAGGCCUUUUGAAAAGCAUGAUCUUAUUGGAACACAUUCAUAUAAAUCGCUCAGGCUGCAAUCCUCUCGACCGUGGCUACUCUACAGGGAGGAGGAAGCCUGCCUUAUGGCUGGAAGUUGGUGCCCUCGCCAGGAUGGUGACAUCUUAAAGGAACUAAGAUCGACUAUGAAGCAUGAAGCCAAUAAAGCCCCUUGGAAAUGUUGGCCGAUGCCUUUCUUACAGAGUCCCCAGCAGCCUUAUCAGAAAUCUAGAAUGCAAGCUGAUGUGCCUGCUUAUUCCUGUGAACCAGUGGAAGACCUCAGGUAUCUCUUCAAAUGAUAAUAUGGAC